CAUACAUUACAACACUGUGAAGCAGUUACUGACAACACUGUGAAGCAGAUGCUGUUAUCAUUUUCCGCCCUAUUUGUAGGUUUAUUUCCUCCGCGAGGACCCUCUCUUGUCUGUGCCCCGUGUCAUAGAAAGUGAAUACUUGAAGAGCAGGGCAGAGGUUGGUCAGGACUCCUGCAGACGGGGUCGGGGUCGGAGACCUGGGCCCACCGGGUACGCGGCCCCCGAGGUGCACAGUCUCUCCGACUCGCGUGGCUGGGAGGGAAGCAGAACUGGUUAUCUCGGCAGGAGGGCAAGUCAUCCUGUCGUUGUCACAUUCCGUGCCCUUUUUUCCUUCGGCUGACGGAAAUUGCCGUAUUUUGAAGUGUUUGGUUUUCAGCAACAUAAAACAUUUUCAGAACAAUUUUAAAACCGAAUUACUACUUUGCAGUCUGAAAAAUUAUGCAGUUUUACCGUAGUCUGAGAAGAGAUAAGUUUAGAUGUGGAAGCUGUUUAUUAGGCAUCCUCACCUUGAGGGAAAUCUUGUCAGGACGUGGCAGAAGAGGACCUGGUUUUGUGGAAGCCUCAUGGCGUAGUCUUGCCCGGGGUGGGGCGUCCUGUUCUCAGGCCAACUUCAUCAAAGGUUUCUGCUGUAUGUUCUGUGGCCUCCUAAGUAGUAUGCUUUGGAACGUUUGCCAGUACAUAAAUUCCUUGCCAUAAAUGGGUUUGUUGUCUAAAAAUAAUUUUUAAAAAUAUCCUGGAAGCAAAAUUAAAUGUAGAUAUUAUGUAUAG
Molecule: long non-coding RNA, 768 nt
Organism: Balaenoptera ricei (Rice's whale)
Lineage: Eukaryota; Metazoa; Chordata; Mammalia; Artiodactyla; Balaenopteridae
Exons: 3
Source: RefSeq, a predicted model, not a curated record